RNAcentral lists this ribosomal RNA (440 nucleotides) under uncultured bacterium. RNAcentral describes it as "partial 16S ribosomal RNA". It matches the Rfam family "Bacterial small subunit ribosomal RNA", at positions 338 to 795 of the family's 1533-position model. The record is from RNAcentral.
CCUACGGGAGGCAGCAGUGAGGAAUAUUGGUCAAUGGGGGAAACCCUGAUGCAGCGACGCCGCGUGGGUGAAGAAGCGCCUCGGCGCGUAAAGCCCUGUCAGCAGGGAAGAAAAUGACGGUACCUGAAGAAGAAGCCCCGGCUAACUACGUGCCAGCAGCCGCGGUAAUACGUAGGGGGCAAGCGUUAUCCGGAUUUACUGGGUGUAAAGGGGGCGCAGACGGCGAUGCAAGCCAGGAGUGAAAGCCCGGGGCCCAACCCCGGGACUGCUCGUGGAACUGCGUGGCUAGAGUGCAGGAGGGGCAGGCGGAAUUCCUGGUGUAGCGGUGAAAUGCGUAGAUAUCAGGAGGAACACCGGUGGCGAAGGCGGCCUGCUGGACUGCAACUGACGUUGAGGCCCGAAAGCGUGGGGAGCAAACAGGAUUAGAUACCCUAGUAGUC